GACAGGAAACAUCUGAGUCUGACACUCCUGUGGCAUGGAUCACUCUGGAACAGCUGGGGCUUCUUAUUCUGCUGGGUAACCCCUGGCUCAGGCCAAACUUCCAUGGGUGGACAAGAAAUAACACAUUACCUUGUGCCUAGCUAAUUUAUUCCUGGAAUAAGUAAUCUUCCAUGGCUGACAGAGGAUAACUUGACCUCACUUCUGAAUUGCCAGCUGUGACUUGUGCAGCUACACAUGCAGUGGGUAGAAGUCCAGCUUCCUUGUUUCACUUUUCCAUGAACUUCCCAGUCUAGGAACUCUAAUUCCUGUAGUUUUCCCACUGGAAUACCACAGAAGAUUAUGGGACUUAGCAUACUUCUGUAGAUAAAACCAGAUCCAGACCAACAGCUCUUUUGAGCUGGCUGAAGCUAGGUCACAUCUUUAAAGCUAUUAGAUAUAUGGCUAGAUGGGCUGACUUGGUUAUUUACCUUUAUAUAUGGAUUAUAUGGAUUUAUAAGUUCUUUAUUAUUUUAUUUAUUAUUUUUAUUUAAUGUAUGGUAUCUGAAGAUUUUCCAAAAAAGCCACUGUUAUCCUCAUUUGUACGCUCCAUUCUUCCAGUAAAACCCUACCAGAUGACAGUGGAGAAAGGAGGAAUUUUCUGAGGUUAUUUCCUGCUAUCUGGAGAUAGGCAAGAAGUUCCAUUGUAUUGUUUCUAUAAGAUCUGCAAUUCCCAGUCACAGGAAUUGCUUGUGUGACUGUUAAGCCCUUUGUGGAUUCAGAUAAGAAGGACAGUGGUUCUCUGGAACAGAUGUGGUGUUUAGGAUGACAUAACAAGUGCUACCAACACCCUCAAUGUGUGACUGAACAACUUUUGCGUGUCAUCCUUCUUGGCACCCACAGAGAUGGAGGAUGAGGCUUACUAUUUAACAGCUGUUGGUGACCUUCUUUGCUCACCAAUUUGGAGUCAAUGAUGCUCUAAUACACUUGUUUACCUGGCAGCUGACAUUCUAGAGGCAAAACAAAUUUUGGUCAGUCCCCUGGUCUGGAUUCCAGUGUCUUAAUAAAAUGUUUCUUCAUUGGCCUGUAUUCUGUUCUGGUCAAUAAAGCCCCAUGGACUUUG
Parus major (Great Tit) is the source of this 1099-nucleotide long non-coding RNA. RefSeq lists it as uncharacterized. The transcript is spliced from 2 exons. Lineage: Eukaryota; Metazoa; Chordata; Aves; Passeriformes; Paridae. The record is from RefSeq and is a predicted model, not a curated record.